This 613-nucleotide unclassified non-coding RNA is filed under the name Zea mays. RNAcentral's name for it is "misc RNA Zm00001eb415790". The record is from RNAcentral. Lineage: Eukaryota; Viridiplantae; Streptophyta; Magnoliopsida; Poales; Poaceae.
AAAAAAAUAAGAGAAGAGAAAAGAAAUAAAGAACGGGAGAAAACAAAAGAAAACCCUUUUCCCACUCGUCCUGGCCGUCGACCCAUUUAUCAGGCACGGGUGCGUUCUGCUCCAUGGGCCCCGCCCGUCAGUCAGCCACAAACUCUCUAUCUUCUCCCCUCGGCAACUGCUUCUCUCGCCACGGCAUCUACAACAACAACCUUCCCCACGAUCUCGCGAGAAGCUCGUAGAAACUGCAGCCCGGACAUCCAUUCUCUUACCCAUCCACUUCCUGCACAACAGCCAUACAAUGCUCGUUGCCGUGCCAUCGUCUCUGCGUGGAGGUUGCCAUGCCGUCGUCGCUGCAUGGAGGUUGUCGUGCCGUCGUCGCUGCAUGGAGGAGACAACGACACGCACGAUGCUGUUUGCCGUUGGACUCCCACGCCCGGCGCCCACCCAGUUCCACCUCGUCGUCGUCCGUGCCGAGGUGAGCUCCGUCUAGCCCCUCUCGCUGUUUACCUCUCUCUCCUCCCUCUUCUUCCUCGGUGUGCUGCACCCUCUCUCCCCUUGGCCAUGCCGACUCUCUAGCCUGCGCACCGAGUCUCCGCCUCAUGCCCCAUACGCGGCAUGCCCG